RNAcentral lists this ribosomal RNA (253 nucleotides) under uncultured bacterium. RNAcentral describes it as "partial 16S ribosomal RNA". It matches the Rfam family "Bacterial small subunit ribosomal RNA", at positions 524 to 776 of the family's 1533-position model. The record is from RNAcentral.
GACAGAGGGUGCAAACGUUGCUCGGAAUUACUGGGCGUAAAGCGCGUGUAGGCGGAUGGGUAUGUCAGAUGUGAAAUCCCCAGGCUCAACUUGGGAACUGCAUUUGAAACUGCCCGUCUUGAGUGGUGGAGAGGAGAGCGGAAUUCCUGGUGUAGAGGUGAAAUUCGUAGAUAUCAGGAGGAACACCGGUGGCGAAGGCGGCUCUCUGGACACCGACUGACGCUGAGACGCGAAAGCGUGGGGAGCAAACAGG